This 65-nucleotide transfer RNA is filed under the name Anemina arcaeformis. Its description in RNAcentral is "tRNA-Asp". The record is from RNAcentral. Lineage: Eukaryota; Metazoa; Mollusca; Bivalvia; Unionida; Unionidae.
AAGAGAUUAGUUAAAGAGAUAAUAUAAGUUUGUCAAACUUAAGUUACCCGAUGUGGUAUCUCUUC